GCUGGCGGCAGGCCUAACACAUGCAAGUCGAGCGCCCAGCAAUGGGAGCGGCAGACGGGUGAGUAACGCGUGGGGAUGUACCCAAUGGUACGGAAUAACCCAGGGAAACUUUGGAUUAAUACCGUAUGUGCCCUUCGGGGGAAAGAUUUAUCGCCAAUGGAUGAACCCGCGUCUGAUUAGCUAGUUGGUGAGGUAAAGGCUCACCAAGGCGACGAUCAGUAGCUGGUCUGAGAGGAUGAUCAGCCACACUGGGACUGAGACACGGCCCAGACUCCUACGGGAGGCAGCAGUGGGGAAUAUUGGACAAUGGGCGCAAGCCUGAUCCAGCCAUGCCGCGUGAGUGAUGAAGGCCUUAGGGUUGUAAAGCUCUUUCGCCGGUGAAGAUAAUGACGGUAACCGGAGAAGAAGCCCCGGCUAACUUCGUGCCAGCAGCCGCGGUAAU
RNAcentral lists this ribosomal RNA (442 nucleotides) under uncultured bacterium. Its description in RNAcentral is "bacterial SSU rRNA". It matches the Rfam family "Bacterial small subunit ribosomal RNA", at positions 35 to 524 of the family's 1533-position model. The record is from RNAcentral.